This 1047-nucleotide ribosomal RNA is filed under the name Triticum aestivum (bread wheat). Its description in RNAcentral is "partial small subunit ribosomal RNA". Lineage: Eukaryota; Viridiplantae; Streptophyta; Magnoliopsida; Poales; Poaceae. The record is from RNAcentral.
AUGGACGAGCAGUGGAUGAUCGGGCAGACUUCCCUCAGCCUCGGCCUCAACGUCGGCGGGCCACGACGGGCUCCUCCGGUGACCAGGGACCACGUGGAGGAGGACUUCAUGUCUUCCAAGAAGAAUCACGUGGUUGAGGCGCUGGAGGCCGAGCUCCAGCGAGUGGGCAAGGAGAACAGGAAGCUCAGCGACAUGCUCCGCGCGCUGGUGGCCAAGUACUCUGACUUGCAGGGCAAGGUCAGCGGCAUGAUGGCGGCGGCGGCCGCGGCUAACAGCCACCGCCAGUCGUCGACGACAUCGGAGGGCGGCUCCGCGGCGUCGGCGACCAGAAAGCGCCCCCGCAGCGACAGCCUCGACACGGCCAGCCGCAACCCUUCGCCGCCGCUCGCCGUGGCCGGCAGCAGCGGCCGCUUCGCCGUCAGCGGCCCCGUCGGCCCCGACCAGGCGGAGUGCACGUCCGUCCACGAGCCGUGCAACAGCAAGCGCGUCCGCGCCGACGAGUGCAAGGCCACCAGGGUCUCCAAGCUCUACGUCCACGCCGACCCCGCCGACCUCAGCCUCGUGGUGAAGGAUGGGUACCAAUGGCGAAAGUACGGGCAGAAGGUGACCAAGGACAACCCGUGCCCGAGGGCCUACUUCCGGUGCUCGUUCGCGCCGUCGUGCCAGGUGAAGAAGAAGGUGCAGCGCAGCGCCGAGGACAAGACCGUGCUUGUCGCCACGUACGACGGCGAUCACAACCACGCGCAGCCGCCCAAGCAACAAGGCUCUGGUGGCAGGAAGAGCGGCGACGCAGCCGCCGUCCGCGUAUCAGCUGCGCCGGUGCUUGUCCAGCAGCAGCGGAAGCAGGAAGCUUCGACGGCGGAGCAGGUCGCCGAUAGGAAGAACCUGGCGGAGCAGAUGGCGGCGACGCUGACGAGGGACCCCGGGUUCAAGGCGGCACUCGUCUCCGCGCUCUCUGGUCGGAUCCCUGCUGCCUGGCCGAAAACCUGCCAGCACAAGAGAAUAUACUCAGGAAAACAUUUUUCAAGAGAGAGGGCCGGCGCAUGA